This 766-nucleotide long non-coding RNA is filed under the name Mytilus galloprovincialis (Mediterranean mussel). Lineage: Eukaryota; Metazoa; Mollusca; Bivalvia; Mytilida; Mytilidae. The record is from RNAcentral.
AACAAAACUAAAUCAUAUUUUUUAUUCAAUCAUUUAACAUUCAUGACUGUGUACCUAUCUUUAUAAAAGUCCUUUAAUGUGAAACAUGUACAUGUGCAUGUCAUAUACAUUUUUGUACAAACAUAAAUACAAACAUAUUAUAAAAUACAGGACAUCAUGUAAGAAGCUGUUUCUUAAGAUUUCUUUCUGUAUGUGAACUUUUCUUAUAUUUUAAUCUCCUAAUCAUCAUAAUCACCAUCCAGAUUUUUUGUUUCAUUCUCCCUUGUUUGAUAUAUCACCAUGGUGACACAUUUCAAGCAUUGUCGUGAUCCUUGGUAGGGCUUGUACCACAUUGUACCAUGUAACAAUUUGCUGAGUGUACUCAUUUUAAAAAAGGCCCAAAAAAUAUAUACACUUGCAAUUGCUUUCUGGCAGUUGGGUAGGUUGGUAGGUUGGUAAAAACAAAUAUAUUUCUAUAUUACCUGGUUACAUAGACUGUCUUGGGAAAUGUUCUGUAAUUUAAGGAUGCUUGACUUUAAAUGUCUGGACACAAAUGGUGUAUAACUUAAAAUUUACAUAAAAUGUGUAAGGGAGGGCAGGCAUUACAAUUAAUUAGGUUUGUUCAGGUGGCAGGUUACAUUAACACUUCAGUCAUAUAUUUUUUUGUUUGCCUUUAAGAUUGUAUGAAAAUUUUAUUGAUACAUGUACCAUAUAUAAAUUUACAGAGAAUUUAUUUUUAUGUGUGAAGUUUUUUAUGUAAGUACUGUGUUCCCAGAACUGAUGUGUA